UCCAAUUGUAAUUGUGGCUUGGAACCAAAAUUGGAAGUGGAAGAUGAACCCUUCUGAGACAAGGAUGUGGGAUGAUUAUAUUUGCGAAACAUAUCAAUGAAAUUUGGUAAUUGGGACAGCUCCAACUGUUUUAAUGAAGUGAAUAAUACCACAUCUUGGUAUUGACCAAAUAUGUAUUUCAAACCAGCACAUCUUCUAAUUUUGAUAGUUUCUAGUACUGGAAGUUCAUGAAAAAAGAGGAAAGGAAAUAUAGAUUCUAAUAAGGGACAUCCCUCAAUGUCAAGAACUUUUAGUUUUUGAAGCACUGAGUCGAGACAUUUGUUAUUUUCACUGUCAUCUCUUCUUUCAUCUGCUAUUAUGUUUUCCAGUUUCUCACAAUGGCCUAUUUUCAAUGUUUCCAAUGACAACAAGCUUUGAGAAGUCAAAAGCUGAUACAGAGAGACUAACAUUGGGCAACUCUGCAGUUUGAUGGUCUUUAGAUUGCAGAGGUUUAGCUUGCAUUUAAAUAAGCUUUGCAGAUGUUCACAGUCAUUGAUUGAUAGCUCCUCUAAAUUCCCCAUAGAGUCCGAGGAAAGUGUACCUUUGAAUAGUUCCUCCAAAUUUUCCAUUCCAUUCAGUUUUAGUACAACCAGCUUGGACAAAACAGUUGGUACUUGAGAACCAUCUUUGUCAACGAGGCACUGUAACUGUGAAAUACAACUCAAACGAAAUAAGGAUUCAUAAAUAGCCAAUAUCAUUAUACAUAAUUAUUUAAAUACAAGUUUAAAAUUAAUUGAAUGUUCCCAAUGGUAGAAUAGCCAAUAUCAAUCAAAGGACGUACGCUACAACUUAUAUGAGACCAUUAAAUUCAGUAUCUGCGGUUUUAGUGUAGGAUUAAAGCUAAGUCAAGAACGAUAAAUUCUACCUAAAGUUAGUGUGAGGACAUACUAGUUUAGGCACACAUGACAACUUGCGACACCAUUAAAUUCAGUAUCUGCGGUUUUAGUGUAGGAUUAAAGCUAAGUCAAGAACGAUAAAUUCUACCUAAAGUUAGUGUGAGGACUAGUUUAGGCACACAUGACAACUUGCGACACCAUUGAGCCUUAAGGGUAAGGAUACCUAAGUUUAAACGAAAGUGGAACCGACUGAGGCGAGGAUACAUAUAAGCAGAGUAAAGACAACCUAAAUUAGGCUCUAACCAGUUUGUAAUAGAAAUAGGCAAAGAGGGUUCCUGAACCUAUUUUAUAAAUACUAAUCCUAAUAGAGGGGAACAAAGGAAAUUAACCACCAAGCAAGGAUAAGGAAGGGAUUCGAAAACACUUAACUACCCCGUGUGGACACACACACCAUUUUAUUUUUACAGUCAUUUACUUUCCUGCUAUUUACUUUUACCCCCACAACUAUCUUUAAAACAAACAAAGCGAAUGCAAACUAUCUAAAUUCCUAAGCGAAACUAGUAAUUUUGGCACAAUCUCUAUGGAGAACAAUAACUUAUCACUUUAUUACUUAGUAGCGAUUCUGUGCACUUGCAGAGCCACCAUCAGGUAUCAUACAUUAUUAACAAGUGGUCCCUUCUAGAUUUAUUUUUUUUGACUUAAAUUGAUGAUAUUAAAUUGAUGAUCCAUACUACAUAAAUCUCUCACCCACUGGUAUACUCAGUAUAUUACAAUGUAUAGUGAUUUGUUACUAUGUUAAUCGAACAUAGAACCUCAUCCAUACUACAGAAAUCUUCUAGUUUACAUGUAAAACUUCUUGAUAAUUAAGUUUGGGAUGUUUUAUAUACACAAAUGUUGUUAUAAAUAUGUAAGUUAACAUACUCCACCCUCCCUUACUUAUUAUAAACAAAAAACAUUACUAUCAAAUUAAAAAUAGUAUCUAAUCUAUAAUAUAAAUCAAAUAUAUUAGUUAUUCAAUGAAUAUUAAAAGUGAGUAUAAUUAUUAUAAAGGACCAUGAAUUUCACCAAAAGACAAAUUGUUUAAGAGGAUUCGAAUUCAAUUCCUGCGUGAAAUAAUUUUUUAUCAUAUUUUACUUGCUUCGCAGCCAAAUUCAAGAUUAUUAUCCUCCUUCCCCUAAAUGCCGUUAACAUAUAAAAUAAAUAAAUAUUAUAAAGGGAAAGAAUUACCAAACUAAAUAGAAAUGGUGAGAGGCUUACCGAGUAGUCCAAUUGUAAUUGUGGCUUGGAACCAAAAUUGGAAGUGGAAGAUGAACCCUUCUGAGACAAGGAUGUGGGAUGAUUAUAUUUGCAAAACAUAUCAAUGAAAUUUGGUAAUUGGGACAGUUCCAACUGUUUUAAUGAAGUGAAUAAUACCACAUCUUGGUAUUGACCAAAUAUGUAUUUCAAUUCAUCACAUCUUCUAAUUUUGAUAGUUUCUAGUACUGGAAAGUCUUGUACAAAGAGGAAAGGAAAUAUAGAUUCUAGUAAGGGACAUCCCUCAAUAUCAACAACUUCUAGUUUUGGAAACAUUUUGCCAACACAUUUGUUAUUAAGGCAAUGUGAAUUCGAUUCCU
This 2488-nucleotide long non-coding RNA is filed under the name Trifolium pratense (red clover). RNAcentral's name for it is "long non-coding RNA (TPRA_LNC013773)". The record is from RNAcentral. Lineage: Eukaryota; Viridiplantae; Streptophyta; Magnoliopsida; Fabales; Fabaceae.